CAUAGCUUAUAAUAUUAAAGUAACCACACUAAGAAUUUGGCCCACCCUGAUUGGUUGUUCUGUUUUAAAACACGGCUGACAGAUAAGAUAAAAAGUAUGAAGGCACAGGACUCUGUGUGUGUGUGUUUGUGUUUCGGUCAUAAGGCAAACCAUACCCCCUGAACUGAAGAGACAUCCACUUCUCGACUGUCUGUACCUGGCCAGUGUGGAAGACGACCGACUGAAGGGCAACAUAUUUUUGGACGAAUGCAGGGUUCUCCACAUUUCCCAGACUGUUUUCCAGAACUACAGAUCAUUCCGUUUGUGAGAUGCUGCAUUUCUCACCUGCUGAUUGCAAUUAGCAACUGCCAGCUGGGACCUGGUGUGCUGCUGAAGAGCUAACAAGAAGUGGAGAGCAGCAUGAGGCCUAGACAGUAUGUCUGCUUUGAAUAUAUAAAAAUGCUGCUUUGUGUUUAUGAGAACACACCACUGCAAACAAGAUUUCCAUGCUCCUACAUGAAUGUAGCUUACUUUCCUUCGUGCCAUAGUUUAUGUAUUACUUUUUCAUACAAUACAAUCAUGGGUUUACUAGUAAGGCAACAUGUGGGGGAAUAAAGAAUAGCAUAGGUAAAAGCGAAGCCAACAACGACCUUGUUAAGCAAACCUUUCACAUAGUACUGUUGGGGACACUGGGGCAUGGCCACUAGGUAACUCGAGGGGAUGGAAGACCACGAGUGUCGAUGAAGCCCCCUCGCACUAGGCCCAGGUGUCCUUGGCCCCCCCUCCCGCCUGGAGGCACUCGCAGCAGCUCUGCGUACUAGGCCCAAGUGUCCUUGGCCCCCCCGCCUGGAGUUAUGCUGAGAAUCUGCAACACUAUGCUGCGGAAUCAGACUGCCUGAAACUAAGCAAGGCCACACAGGGCAGAUAUGGAAGAACAAUGCUGAAUAAAGCAGCUUUAUGUAUAGUUUAACAAAUGAUACAGAGAACCAGGGAACUAGCUGGGCACUGGAUUGGCUGGCUAUUGUGGAUACUUGGGGCAGCUUGCUAUUGGAUAAGUAUGCUGGGAAAAAGGAUGUAUAAAAGCCUGUGUAACUUCCUGCUCUGUGUACAGGAUUUGAGAUUCAAAUCUCCCUGUACCUUUUUGAAGCUUCAAAUAAACUUUUCUGCUUUUCCACCCCGUUGUGAUUAUUGGGUGUAGCACACCGGGUAGCGAACCAACUCAAGCUGUUGUUCAGCCUCUCGGCACUGGGUGCCGGCAACAGUACUAUCCUCAGGCAGUGUCAGUCAUGAUGGGGCCAAGUUACCUCUGUUUGUGUUAAAAGAAGCUCAUUAGACUGACAGCUAAAACUCCAUAGGCAUAGCUGAAAUUACAGUGCUGUAGCAUUCAGGAGACCUGAGCUUGUGGGUAUCAUGCUCUCUGGGGUCGGACUGUAACUGCCAACUGCCAGAGGAAAAAUAGCUUCCCUGCUUCGUGACACACAGGAGCUGACCAUGAUUAAAAUCCUGGCCCUUAUCUGAAAGCAAGCUCUCUGCUAGUGCUUCCAUGGGCACUAGCCUCUCCAGAAGGAUGGAGGGGCACUUUAAGGGGCAAAGCAAUAGCCACGCUGUCCCUGGACUGUGGGAACCCUGGAAGGCAUUGGGCUUCCCUGAGGCACAAUGCCUGCUGGUCCUCCCAAUGGGGCAGAGAGGUCCCUCAGCACUGCCAACGCUAGGAGGGGCUUAUCAGGCACAAUGAAGGCCCAAGGUGGCACACUCUGGAAGCACACUCAGUACCUAGUGGGGGAGGGUGGGUAUCCUAUCACAAAUUUCCCCAGCAAUACGACUGUGCUCAUCUGAAAUGCUAAACUGAAAUGUGCCAGGGGACGUGCACAGACAGGCAGAGUGGGGAAUAUAAAAAUAUAAUCUCCUUUUGCUCCAGCCACAUGUUGCCUGCAGAGGCCUAGUCAGUCUUUGAGUGGGAGAGGCAGCUGGUGCUUUGCAGCUGCUGUCUGUGUUAUCAAUACUCUGCUUCUUCUGAUACGGUAUAGCCCUGAAGCAUUGCAAUGCCCAUGUCGCUCACGUUUGGCACUUCAUCAUCUCCUUGUGUGGGUCAUGGUGUGUGUGGUAUUCUGCAUGUACUGCAAGAAACCCAGGACUUUGCAGGACACAGGCUCUGUGGGGCAUUGGUCUGAAUACUCAGCUCAAGCUCUGCAGGGGGCUCAGUACUGUAACUGCCACUUGCACCUUUGGGGUGAGGACAGAAUAAAGGAGAAAUGUAGAACUGGAGAAGAAAUAAAAAGCUGGAAAGUCUUGGGGAACAUGUGGUGUAUUGAGAGCUGUUUUGUAUUUGCACAUUAUUACUUUAAGAGUGGUGGGGUUUCCUGAUCCUGCUUGCAGGCUAGGGGGCUCUGUAGCAAAGCAUGCAAUCAGAGUCAGUCUUGAAAAAAUCAGCUUUAAGCAACAUGGGGUUCAGUGGUGCCUCCCUGUCUUCAGGAACAGCCUGUUUUCUCUCUCUGUGUAUUUGGGUUCUUGUGUGUUAUUGUUUUGCAUUCUAAGAAAUAAAGUAGUGUUACGUUACAACCUUC
Molecule: long non-coding RNA, 2543 nt
Organism: Caretta caretta (loggerhead turtle)
Lineage: Eukaryota; Metazoa; Chordata; Testudines; Cheloniidae
Source: RefSeq, a predicted model, not a curated record